UGGUGCAAAAGUAAUUGCGGUUUUUGCCAUUAAAAGUAAUGGCAAACUGCAAUUACUAUUGC
This 62-nucleotide microRNA precursor is filed under the name Colobus angolensis palliatus. RNAcentral's name for it is "miRNA (ENSCANG00000012181.1)". Lineage: Eukaryota; Metazoa; Chordata; Mammalia; Primates; Cercopithecidae. The record is from RNAcentral.